CGCCGUCAAUCAACCGCCUCAUAUAUAGUGCAUGCAGGAAAAUGUGGAGCACUUCAAUAACUUGUGUGUGUGUUUGUGUAUGUGUGUGCGUGCGUGCGUGUGUUUGUGCAUGGGGGCGCGUGCGCAGAGUGGGGGGUUUGGAUGCGAGCGGGAAUGUCGGUUCUUGUUUAUCUAUGUGGCCGUGCAGAAGGCGCGAGAGAGAGGGAGGGAGGUAUGCAGGGAAAACAAGAGAAGAGAGAGAAUAGUGAGGCAAACUCCUGGCCGAGGUCCCACUAGCAGCAGGCAGAACGGACUGAAAUGUGUCAGGAUUGUCUACGUCUGCGUGUGUGUCAGUGUGUGUGUCUGGGGGAGACGGUGUGCUCAACCCAUUUCACCCACAACUUUUCAGUCUAUAUUUCACCCCCGAAUAUGGAAGCGUUUCCCCUUUUCUACUAUCCAGCCACCUCGUAUUCUUGUUGCCAACUUUUUGGUCAUGCUGCUGGUUCAGGUCGCAUGGGCAGCAAUCUCAGUAGAGAAGCCCAGACUUCCCAGACCCCCGUAACAUACUCCAAUUCGACCGGGCAGGACGUUGAAGCGUUCCCAGGCUUGCUGCGACAGAUAAACCCUCCAGCAUGUCCGAGGUCUCCUCCCUGAGUCUCCACCCGGUUCAGCAUUGCCCAAUCACUACGGGAGGCAGAACAAUAGGGUUGUGUGCUGUCAGGUUCUGCACUACAGGAGGAGCAAAUGCAGACUGCAGGCUGUGAGGCCAAUAUUUGAACAGCGCUACAGCAAUACUCUCAUUAAGGCAAG
Long non-coding RNA from Dunckerocampus dactyliophorus (ringed pipefish), 789 nucleotides. RefSeq lists it as uncharacterized. NCBI's taxonomy places the organism in Eukaryota, Metazoa, Chordata, Actinopteri, Syngnathiformes, Syngnathidae. The transcript is spliced from 3 exons. The record is from RefSeq and is a predicted model, not a curated record.